Molecule: ribosomal RNA, 393 nt
Filed under: uncultured bacterium
Lineage: Bacteria
Description: partial 16S ribosomal RNA
Rfam family: Bacterial small subunit ribosomal RNA
Source: RNAcentral
AUACGGAGGAUCCGAGCGUUAUCCGGAUUUAUUGGGUUUAAAGGGUGCGCAGGCGGGAGAUUAAGUCGGCGGUGAAAUUUUUCAGCUCCACUGUAAAAGUGCCUUCGAAACUGGUUUCCUUGAGUGUAGAUGAAGUAGGCGGAAUUUGUGGUGUAGCGGUGAAAUGCAUAGAUAUCACGAGGAACUCCGAUUGCGCAGGCAGCUUACUAAACUACUACUGACGCUCAGGCACGAAGGCGUGGGGAUCAAACAGGAUUAGAUACCCUGGUAGUCCACGCAGUAAACGAUGAUUACUAGCUGUUUGCGAUACAAUGUAAGCGGCUGAGCGAAAGCGUUAAGUAAUCCACCUGGGGAGUACGUUCGCAAGAAUGAAACUCAAAGGAAUUGACGGGG